AGAGUUCGAUCCUGGCUCAGGAUGAACGCUGGCGGCGUGCUUAACACAUGCAAGUCGAACGAACCUUCGGGUUAGUGGCGGACGGGUGAGUAACGCGUGAGAAUCUGCCCUCAGGAGGGGGAUAACGGUUGGAAACGACCGCUAAUACCCCAUAUGCCGAUAGGUGAAAUGAAUUUCGCCUGAGGAUGAGCUCGCGUCUGAUUAGCUUGUUGGUGAGGUAAUGGCUCACCAAGGCUUCGAUCAGUAGCUGGUCUGAGAGGAUGAUCAGCCACACUGGGACUGAGACACGGCCCAGACUCCUACGGGAGGCAGCAGUGGGGAAUUUUCCGCAAUGGGCGAAACGUGACGGAGCAACGCCGCGUGAGGGACGAAGGCCUCUGGGCUGUAAACCUCUUUUUUCAAGGAAGAAGAUAUGACGGUACUUGAGGAAUAAGCCACGGCUAAUUCCGUGCCAGCAGCCGCGGUAAUACGGGAGUGGCAAGCGUUAUCCGGAAUUAUUGGGCGUAAAGCGUCCGCAGGCGGCCUUUCAAGUCUGCUGUUAAAGCGUGGAGCUUAACUCCAUUAUGGCAGUGGAAACUGAUCGGCUUGAGUAUGGUAGGGGCAGAGGGAAUUCCCGGUGUAGCGGUGAAAUGCGUAGAUAUCGGGAAGAACACCAGUGGCGAAGGCGCUCUGCUGGGCCAUUACUGACGCUCAUGGACGAAAGCCAGGGGAGCGAAAGGGAUUAGAUACCCCUGUAGUCCUGGCCGUAAACGAUGAACACUAGGUGUCGGGGGAAUCGACCCCUUCGGUGUCGUAGCUAACGCGUUAAGUGUUCCGCCUGGGGAGUACGCACGCAAGUUGAAACUCAAAGGAAUUGACGGGNNNCCGCACAAGCGUGGAGUAUGUGGUUUAAUUCGAUGCAACGCGAAGAACCUUACCAGGGUUUGACAUCCUGAGAACCUCUUAGAAAUUUGAGGGUGCCUUCGGGAAUUCAGUGACAGGUGGUGCAUGGCUGUCGUCAGCUCGUGUCGUGAGAUGUUGGGUUAAGUCCCGCAACGAGCGCAACCCACGUUUUUAGUUGCCAGCAUUUAGUUGGGCACUCUAGAAAGACCGCCGGUGAUAAACCGGAGGAAGGUGUGGAUGACGUCAAGUCAUCAUGCCCCUUACACCCUGGGCUACACACGUACUACAAUGCUACGGACAAAGGGCAGCACACUCGCGAGAGCUAGCAAAUCCCAUAAACCGUGGCUCAGUUCAGAUCGUAGGCUGCAACUCGCCUACGUGAAGUAGGAAUCGCUAGUAAUCGCAGGUCAGCAUACUGCGGUGAAUACGUUCCCGGGCCUUGUACACACCGCCCGUCCCACCAUGGAAGUUGGCCAUGCCCGAAGUCGUUACUCCAACCCUUGUGGAGGAGGACGCCGAAGUGGGGCUAAUGACUGGGGUGAAGUCGUAACAAGGUAGCCGUACCGGAAGGUGGGGCUGGAUCACCUCCUU
RNAcentral lists this ribosomal RNA (1473 nucleotides) under uncultured bacterium. Its description in RNAcentral is "bacterial SSU rRNA". It matches the Rfam family "Bacterial small subunit ribosomal RNA". The record is from RNAcentral.